This 489-nucleotide ribosomal RNA is filed under the name uncultured bacterium. RNAcentral describes it as "bacterial SSU rRNA". It matches the Rfam family "Bacterial small subunit ribosomal RNA", at positions 27 to 509 of the family's 1533-position model. The record is from RNAcentral.
GGACGAACGCUGGCGGCGUGCUUAACACAUGCAAGUGGAGCGACGAACCAGGGCUUGCCCUGGGGCAAAGCCGCGAACGGGUGAGUAACACGUGAGUAAUCUGCCCCGAUUACCGGGACAACCCGAGGAAACUCGGGCUAAUACCGGAUGUGGCGUACAGACAUAAGUCUGUCCGUUAAAGGUAGCUUCGGCUUCUGAAUCGGGAGGGGCUCGCGGCCCAUUAGCUUGUUGGUGGGGUAACGGCCUACCAAGGCGACGAUGGGUAGCUGGUCUGAGAGGACGAUCAGCCACACUGGGACUGAGACACGGCCCAGACUCCUACGGGAGGCAGCAGUGGGGAAUCUUGCGCAUGCGCGAAGUGUGACGCAGCNCGCCGCGUGAGGGAAGACGGCCUUCGGGUUGUACCUCUUUCAGGAGGGACGAAGGUUCACCGGUGAUAGCCGUGUGGAUUGACGGUACCUCCAGAAGAAGCUCCGGCUACUACGUGCC